GUCGAACGGAAAGGCCCUGCUUGCAGGGUACUCGAGUGGCGAACGGGUGUGUAACACGUGGGUGAUCUGCCCUGCACUUCGGGAUAAGCCUGGGAAACUGGGUCUAAUACCGGAUAGGAGCCAUUUUUAGUGUGAUGGUUGGAAAGUUUUUUCGGUGUAGGAUGAGCUCGCGACCUAUCAGCUUGUUGGUGGGGUAAUGGCCUACCAAGGCGGCGACGGGUAGCCGGCCUGAGAGGGUGGACGGCCACAUUGGGACUGAGAUACGGCCCAGACUCCUACGGGAGGCAGCAGUGGGGAAUAUUGCACAAUGGGCGCAAGCCUGAUGCAGCGACGCCGCGUGGGGGAUGACGGCCUUCGGGUUGUAAACUCCUUUCGCUAGGGACGAAGCUUUUUGUGACGGUACCUAGAUAAGAAGCACCGGCUAACUACGUGCCAGCAGCCGCGGUAAUACGUAGGGUGCGAGCGUUGUCCGGAAUUACUGGGCGUAAAGGGCUCGUAGGUGGUUUGUCGCGUCGUCUGUGAAAUUCCGGGGCUUAACUCCGGGCGUGCAGGCGAUACGGGCAUAACUUGAGUACUGUAGGGGUAACUGGAAUUCCUGGUGUAGCGGUGAAAUGCGCAGAUAUCAGGAGGAACACCGGUGGCGAAGGCAGGUUACUGGGCAGUUACUGACGCUGAGGAGCGAA
Molecule: ribosomal RNA, 683 nt
Filed under: uncultured Actinomycetales bacterium
Lineage: Bacteria; Bacillati; Actinomycetota; Actinomycetes; Actinomycetales
Description: bacterial SSU rRNA
Rfam family: Bacterial small subunit ribosomal RNA
Source: RNAcentral